This 507-nucleotide ribosomal RNA is filed under the name uncultured bacterium. RNAcentral describes it as "bacterial SSU rRNA". It matches the Rfam family "Bacterial small subunit ribosomal RNA", at positions 8 to 521 of the family's 1533-position model. The record is from RNAcentral.
AGAGUUUGAUCCUGGCUCAGGAUAAACGCUGGCGGCGCACAUAAGACAUGCAAGUCGAACGAACUUAACCAUUAGUUUACUAUUGGAGCGGUUAGUGGCGGACUGGUGAGUAACACGUAAGCAACCUGCCUAUCAGAGGGGAACAACAGUUAGAAAUGACUGCUAAUACCGCAUAUGCCUUGAGUAUCACAUGGUACAAAAGGGAAAGGAGCAAUCCGCUGAUAGAUGGGCUUGCGUCUGAUUAGAUAGUUGGUGAGGUAACGGCCCACCAAGUCGACGAUCAGUAGCCGGACUGAGAGGUUGAACGGCCACAUUGGGACUGAGAUACGGCCCAGACUCCUACGGGAGGCAGCAGUCGGGAAUAUUGCGCAAUGGAGGAAACUCUGACGCAGUGACGCCGCGUGCAGGAAGAAGGUUUUCGGAUUGUAAACUGGUUUAGACAGGGAAGAAACGGAGACGAUACCUGUAGAAUAAGGUCCGGUGUAACUACGUGCCAGCAGCCGCGGU